This is a long non-coding RNA of Ziziphus jujuba (common jujube), 847 nucleotides long. RefSeq lists it as uncharacterized. The record is from RefSeq and is a predicted model, not a curated record. The transcript is spliced from 2 exons. Lineage: Eukaryota; Viridiplantae; Streptophyta; Magnoliopsida; Rosales; Rhamnaceae.
GUUGUUCUUUUUUCUUUUUGAUAAUAUUCAAUGUCUUUUAAAUGGCUUCACUGUUGGAUCAGCAAACUUGCAAGGUCUUUAGAAUUUCUAACUACAAUAGGUUAAGAUGUUGAAAAAAUUUCUGACCAAUGGAUGAACAAUGAAUAUUUCUCCCCCAAUUCUGAAAGGUUUUCUUGAGCUAUAAUUACAGAGCUUGUAUAGAGUGCUGUGGAAUUCAUAUAGGUUGCAGCAAUUCCUUACACGUGGAAUGCAUAUUCUAUUCCUAAAAUUUUGGUACUAGCAUAGUUUGAAUUCUAACAUUUUCUUACCCCCUUUAAUUCUAUAAUCUUAGGUUGCUAUUUAUCCUGGAAAUGUUCUCACAUUGCAUAUGUCUAAGCCACCUCAGUUUAAGUACAAAAGUGGACAGUACAUGUUUGUGCAAUACCCUGCUUUCUCUCCCUUUGUGUGGUUGUAUUCACCAUAAUUUUCAUGGCAAAAGAAGGUACUUUGAAGAAAUUAUACAAGGAGUGGACUUUGGUUGGUGCAUUGACUGCAUCAAGGCAAAGAAGUUACUUCCAAGAUCCCAAAUGAUGAAAACAAGCAUCAUUUCUUCUGUGAGGUGGUUUUGGCUAUAGAGUCUAGAUGGGAUUUCAGUACAAGAUGGAUGAUUUACAUAAAUACUUAAAUUAUUGAGUACUGAUAUAAGCUUAGAUUAUUGGCUCGACUUCAUUGCAAUUUAUUUUUUUAUUUUUAUGUAAGCAACUAGGUGCUAUAUUGCAAGAAGUGAACUUUUUUUUCUUGAUUUAUAUAAAUCUUUUUAUUUAUAUUUUUCAUAAACAAUAUUAAAGCUCAUUUACCAAUUGAAUCA